Carassius gibelio (silver crucian carp) is the source of this 775-nucleotide long non-coding RNA. RefSeq lists it as uncharacterized. The record is from RefSeq and is a predicted model, not a curated record. Lineage: Eukaryota; Metazoa; Chordata; Actinopteri; Cypriniformes; Cyprinidae. The transcript has 3 exons.
UCAAAAAUGCUGCAGUAAAAGGGUUUGAUAUGAGGUGUGCAUAUAGUAUGGGAUGUCCUUUAUAAGAACUGACCAUUGUUUUUUUCUACUUAUUAGAAAUGAUGUCUUUAUAGCCCUCCAAAUCACCAUUUGGACCCAUAUCUCAAAAAUGCUGCAGUAAAAUGGUUUGAUAUGAGGUGUGCAAAUAGUAUGGGACGUCCCUUAUAGGAACAGACCAUUGUUUUUUUCUACUUAUUAGAAAUGGGAUCUUUACAGCCAUUUAAAGUGUAAUAAUGUCCCAUAUCUCGAAAAUGCUGCAGUAAAAUGGUUUGAUAUGAGGUGUGCAUAUAGUAUGGCAUGUCCUUUAUAAGAACUGACCAUUGUUUUUUUCUACUUAUUAGAAAUUAUGUCUUUAUAGCCCUCCAAAUCACCAUUUGGACCCAUAUCUCAAAAAUGCUGCAGUAAAAUGGUUUGAUAUGAGGUGUGCAAAUAGUAUGGGACGUCCCUUAUAGGAACAGACCAUUGUUUUUUUCUACUUAUUAGAAAUGGGAUCUUUACAGCCAUUUAAAGUGUAAUAAUGUCCCAUAUCUCGAAAAUGCUGCAGUAAAAUGGUUUGAUAUGAGGUGUGCAUAUAGUAUGGCAUGUCCUUUAUAAGAACUGACCAUUGUUUUUUUCUACUUAUUAGAAAUUAUGUCUUUAUAGCCCUCCAAAUCACCAUUUGGACCCAUAUCUCAAAAAUGCUGCAGUAAAAUUGUUUGAUAUGAGGUGUGCAUAUAGUAUAGCAUAUCCUUUAUAA